This 551-nucleotide ribosomal RNA is filed under the name Macaca mulatta (Rhesus monkey). Its description in RNAcentral is "partial 16S ribosomal RNA". It matches the Rfam family "Bacterial large subunit ribosomal RNA", at positions 1816 to 2597 of the family's 2925-position model. Lineage: Eukaryota; Metazoa; Chordata; Mammalia; Primates; Cercopithecidae. The record is from RNAcentral.
CACCUCUAGCAUCACUAGUAUUAGAGGCACUGCCUGCCCAGUGACACACGUUUAACGGCCGCGGUACCCUGACCGUGCAAAGGUAGCAUAAUCACUUGUUCUUUAAAUGGGGACUCGCAUGAAAGGCACCACGAGGGUUUAACUGUCUCUUACUUUUAACCAGUGAAAUUGACCUGCCCGCGAAGAGGCGGGCAUAAAAUAAUAAGACGAGAAGACCCUAUGGAGCUUUAAUCUAUUAAUGCAAUCAAAAAUUACACAAACCCGCGGACCUUUAAACUACCGACACCUGCAUUAAAAAUUUUGGUUGGGGCGACCUCGGAGCACAACAAAACCUCCGAAUAAUACAUGCUAAGACCACACAAGUCAAAGCGAACUAACACUUACAAUUGAUCCAAUAAUUUGAUCAACGGAACAAGUUACCCUAGGGAUAACAGCGCAAUUCUAUUCUAGAGUCCAUAUCGACAAUAGAGCUUACGACCUCGAUGUUGGAUCAGGACAUCCUAAUGGUGCAGCAGCUAUCAAGGGUUCGUUUGUUCAACGAUUAAAGUCCU